GACGAACGCUGGCGGCGUGCUUAACACAUGCAAGUCGAACGGAAAGGCCCUGCUUUUGUGGGGUGCUCGAGUGGCGAACGGGUGAGUAACACGUGAGUAACCUGCCCUUGACUUUGGGAUAACUUCAGGAAACUGGGGCUAAUACCGGAUAGGAGCUCCUGCUGCAUGGUGGGGGUUGGAAAGUUUCGGCGGUUGGGGAUGGACUCGCGGCUUAUCAGCUUGUUGGUGGGGUAGUGGCUUACCAAGGCUUUGAAGGGUAGCCGGCCUGAGAGGGUGACCGGCCACAUUGGGACUGAGAUACGGCCCAGACUCCUACGGGAGGCAGCAGUGGGGAAUAUUGCACAAUGGGCGGAAGCCUGAUGCAGCAACGCCGCGUGCGGGAUGACGGCCUUCGGGUUGUAAACCGCUUUCGCCUGUGACGAAGCAUGAGUGACGGUAAUGGGUAAAGAAGCACCGGCUAACUACGUG
Molecule: ribosomal RNA, 468 nt
Filed under: uncultured bacterium
Lineage: Bacteria
Description: partial 16S ribosomal RNA
Rfam family: Bacterial small subunit ribosomal RNA
Source: RNAcentral